RNAcentral lists this small nucleolar RNA (117 nucleotides) under Echinops telfairi (small Madagascar hedgehog). Its description in RNAcentral is "Small nucleolar RNA SNORA61 (ENSETEG00000026417.1)". The record is from RNAcentral. Lineage: Eukaryota; Metazoa; Chordata; Mammalia; Afrosoricida; Tenrecidae.
ACCCUCCAGAUUCCUUAGCCAUUCGAUCUAAACAUUGGUCUGAGUGGGAAUAGGAGGACAAGUAACGUGAAACUGACUUGGAUUCUUUUGUGACAUACAAGUUGGUAAUAAACAAAA